UACGAAGGGGGCUAGCGUUGCUCGGAAUCACUGGGCGUAAAGCGCACGUAGGCGGAUUUUUAAGUCAGGGGUGAAAUCCCGAGGCUCAACCUCGGAACUGCCUUUGAUACUGGAGAUCUUGAGUCCGGAAGAGGUAAGUGGAACUGCGAGUGUAGAGGUGAAAUUCGUAGAUAUUCGCAAGAACACCAGUGGCGAAGGCGGCUUACUGGUCCGGAACUGACGCUGAGGUGCGAAAGCGUGGGGAGCAAACAGG
RNAcentral lists this ribosomal RNA (253 nucleotides) under uncultured bacterium. RNAcentral's name for it is "partial 16S ribosomal RNA". It matches the Rfam family "Bacterial small subunit ribosomal RNA", at positions 524 to 776 of the family's 1533-position model. The record is from RNAcentral.